Larimichthys crocea (large yellow croaker) is the source of this 418-nucleotide long non-coding RNA. RefSeq lists it as uncharacterized. The transcript has 2 exons. NCBI's taxonomy places the organism in Eukaryota, Metazoa, Chordata, Actinopteri, Sciaenidae. The record is from RefSeq and is a predicted model, not a curated record.
AGAAGGACCACUCACUCCUGGUGAUCCUGGUAAACCAGCUGCUCCUGUAAGGCCUCUGUCCCCUGGUGGUCCUACAUGAGCAGCAACAGUUACAGGUGCAACUAAGCAGAUUACCUACCCAAAAGAGGUGCAACAUUUUGACAUUUCAACCAGAAAGUGUGUAGGAAGAAAGCCAACAGGAUCAUCAAAGACUCCAGUCACCCCAACCACAAACUGUUUCUGCCUGCUGCCAUCUGUCAGACGAUACGCAGCAUCUGGUACCACACCACCGGACUCAGGGACAUCUUCAUCGCACAGGCCAUGAGCCUUUUGAAAUCUUAAGCCCUCAGGCUCAUUACUGUCGCUUUACUCACAUUGCACUGGCACACUUUACCUAUACACUAAUUGUGUUUAUCAUUAAAGUGAUAUCAUGGGUGAA